Long non-coding RNA from Equus asinus (donkey), 6632 nucleotides. Lineage: Eukaryota; Metazoa; Chordata; Mammalia; Perissodactyla; Equidae. The record is from Ensembl.
UUAAGCACAAGAUGAUUUAUUUGCUCCCACAAUUGGGAAGUGCAGGGGUGAACUUGGCUUUCAGCGUAGACGGAUGGGAGGCUUGGCGAUGACAGCAGGGCCAUCCUUCUCUUCUUCUCUUGACUGUUUUCCUCUGUGUUAGCUUCCUUCUUGGCAGCAAGGACGAUGACCAUGGAGUGCCUCUUUCCCAGUGCUUCCAGCUAAAUUCCAAGGCUGACUCUCAUUGGGCUGACUUAGGGCCCUUGCUCACCCCAGAACCAAUCACUGUGGGCAAGGGACUAGAAUACUGUAAUCUUGACCAGACCGGAUCAUGUGCCCGGGCCGUGGAGAGGGAUGGCCAGCCCCACCCAAACUAUAUAAAAGAGGGGCAGAAAGGUGAUGGGGCAAAAGAUGAGGAAGAGAUGUUGGACAGGUGAAAACAACAGCUGUUCACUACCUCCACUAACCCGAAUGUACACAAAGGAAAUGGAGAGGGUUGCAGGGGUAUAAAGAUAUCUGUGUACACGCUGAGCCCUUGUAUAAAUAAAAAUACUGCCUGGCCAAAGUCUACCUUGUGUGCCUUAGCAACAAAAUUUUGCUUUCACAUAAAUGAGUGAUUAAGACAUACGCUAUAGGACUUCAGAGGAAGCGAAGAGCUAUUUAAAAUGGUUUUAGGCUUGAUUGAAUUGAGCUUAGAAAAGAAUGGAAAGAUCUGGAAAUGCGAUGAGUCAUUGGUCGGGAACAGGAUUCCCAUAGAACAGAGCAGAAAAGGUGGGUGGUGAGGAGUUGGGUGGGAUCGAGGGUUUCAAAGCCAGACAGAGUUUAUCCUGUAGGUCACAAGGGCCAAGGAAGGUGUGGGGACAGAAGGGUGACAUGGCUAAAGAAGUCCUGUAGGCAGACUAAGCGGGCUGAGAUAUGUAGGUUAGGGGGUAGGGGCACAAACUGGAGGCAGGAGACUAGGAAGGGGGCUAUUGCAGGACGCAAGGGACGAGGCCUGCGGUGUGGCAGGAGCAGUGGGGUGGGAAGUCAGGGUGGAGGCCACAUACGGUGAGAAGAAAUAACCAACAGGAUGUAGUUGUUGAUUGCAUGGCUGAGUCCAAGAUGAAGGGAAGUAAGAAGGUGACAAAGGUGUGCUUCCAGGAGCUCCCGCUGAGCCCUAGCAUCUGCUCCAGCCGGACUGGCGCACAUACUUACUAUGAGCCGCUGGACCUACCUUGCCAUCACGUUCAUCCCACGAGUGUGAGACCACAGCUCCUGGCGGACAGGGCAGGGUCCUCUGGCGUCUGUCUGGUUCCCAUCUCUGUGCCAGUCUGCACCUGGCAGGGUGCCUGCCCAGAGUAGAUGCUGCAGAGGGAAUGAGCAGCCCCUCCCCUGGACACACAGUUGACGCUUGCCUUCUUACCAUUGUUCAUCACACUUGUGUGCAAGUGUGCACGCCUUCGCUCCAGCAACAGCUUGAGGAGGCCGCCAUGAAGCCCUCCGUGGUCCUCAGCAGCAGAUGACAGUGUGGAAGAGCCCAUUUUCUCCCCGCAGAUCACACCAUGCCUGGAGAACAGUGUUUGGCUCUUGUUUGACUCUUAGGAGGGAACUGAACAAGUAAGAGGUGAUGCAAGGAGGUGUCUAGGUUAAGGAGGGGAAUGGGAACCAUGUUCCACAGAGACAUAGCUGCAGGAGCUGGGAGUGCAAGGCCUGGAGAAGAGACACCGCCUGCCAGGAGGAAGAAGGGACAUUCAUCUGUGUGGUCCAAGGGAUGCAACUGGAACCCGCAGGAAGGAGCCCCCAGAGACUUCUGCUCACCCGUAAGCAAGGGCUUCCCAAAACUUCGAGCUCCGGGCAAGUGAAAUCUGUAGCAUCAUCUAGGAAGUCUCGGCUUCCGGUGAGUGAGGAAGGGUUCAAGGCAAAGGUCAAGGGGACUCGAGCAUCAGAUGGAUUGUCAGAGCCUCAGAAACACGUCCUGUGGCCCUACUGUGUGCAAUGCACACUUCACCUCAUUUAAACUCAUAAAGACCCUGCCAGGCAGGAAUGGGAAAGUGCCCAAGUGCACACAGCUGUGAAGGGAAGAACUGGAAUGGGAACCCCGUCUGCUGGUGGGACUGAGCGUAUUUACGCACGUUCUGCUCCGCAGCCACGUGUGACCAAAAGCUGAAGGAUAGUGAAGGCAAGCAAAAGAAUUCUGGAGCGACUUCCUAACAUUGUGAAGUUGGGCAAAUUACUUAAUUUCUCUGAGGUUCCUUUCCCUCUGCCAAAAAUGCAGAUAAUAACUACCCAAGAGGCCCGAUAUGAACACUAGAUCAGGGAACAGUGCCCGGCAGUCGGAGGCCUUCCAUCAAUGUUAGCUUGACUGUCACCACCCCUCCCUGCUUGUCCUCUGCCUUUCCUAAAGCCUUCCUCUGUGCAGCUUGCCCCACCCUUUCAUCGACGUCAAGACCAGCCCCCGUGGAACUCGUGGUCUUGUUCGCACGGCUUUGACACAUUUGUCGUGGGAGAAUUUAAGCCCUGGUGUUCCCCUUGCAUGAGGGAGCAGUGUCUCAUGCAACUUUGUGUCCUCUGCAGGGCCUGCCCAGCCCAUGAUUGGUGCUUAGGCUGGAGAGAGAGCUGGCUCAGGGGGGUUGAGGGUAACUAGAGGGAGGUGGAACAGUGAUAAAGGGAAAAAUGCAAAAAUCUGCCACCAUGCAAAACAGAAGCUUGCAUAUCCAAUUCCUGGGGAGCUAGCCAUGCAAACCGAGCCCUGCCUGUUGACCCCCCUCCCCUUCCCCAACUCUCAACCCAGGCCUGCUGUGACCAUGAUGGCGGUGGCGGUGGUGGUGGCGGAAAAGAUGGUGAUGAUGAUGGCAGCUCUCAUUUGUUGGUUCCCACUAAGCAUCAAAGUGUCAGAUCUCUUACGUGUAUUAUUCAUAACCCUAAAAUAGCCCAUGAGGAAGGUAAUAUUACCCCCUUUUUACAGAUAAGGAACUAAAAGUCCUUCAAGACUUGACCUCAGUCUGGGGUCAGUCCAAAGCCUGCGCGAGCUCUUCCUCCAGCGAUGCUCUUUCACAGAGUCAGUGUGCAGUUAUCCCCAUCAAGGGGAGCGGUCAUGUGGAUGCCCCAGAAGAGAAGAUCCAAAAGCAUUUUUCUAAUUUUGUUUAGCAAUCUGAAAAAUAUAUAUUAUACUCAUUCAGUUAACAUUUGUUAAACAUCUAAAUUACCUCUCCUAUCUUAGGGAUUCUGACAGACUUAGGAGACCUCUCCAGCAAAAGGAAAGUUCCAUGAUGACAGGGACCUUCACUGUCUUGUUAACCACCAUGUCCACAGCAUUAGAAAGUACCUGGCAGGCAUUCUACCAACGCACGAUGAAUGAAUUCACAAAUGAUUGACUCAGCCUGCGCCAUCGUGUGUGUGUACGUGUGUGUCUGGAAGGUGAAAAUGGGCUGGGCCUGGGCCAGCCAAGGCCAGUUUAGCCCCAGGGAAGCGUUAGGUAAGCUUCCAUGGCAACACAGUUCAGUGUGUGUUUUCUGUGCUCCCAACAGAAUUCCAGGCUGAGCGCGUCUAUUCCCCAAGGCCUCGCUGCCUCCUUCCUUGUCUCCCCAGGUCUCCCGGGUAAUCAUCUCGGGGAAACUAAGAGAAGCUCAAAUAGCAGAAGCAGCCUCAGAACAUGGGAGGCAGAGGAGAGAAAGCUCCACCCAGGGAGAGGGCCAUUCCCCUCCCAGACCAGUGCUUCUGGCUCAGAAGUGUCCACCUACAGAAGUCAAACUCCUUGGGCCUCCUCCCAGACCCCUGGACCCCAUGGCUCCCACAUCCAGCCACACUAACCCUCCACCCCCAGCCGCCCCACCUCAUUCAUGGUCUGACCCUGUUCCACUUGGCAGCCAGCUCCUACGUAAACUCUCUCUCUGCUAUGCAGUUCACCAGACCAGGGGCCCUCCUGCUCUCUCUGUCCCUCCAGCCUGGCUCCACUUCAAACACCUCCUUCAGGAAGCCCUCCCAGACUUUCCUUCCCAGGCUUCUCCCCCAAGCCCUCCAGCAUGGAGUCUGAUUGAGCAUCCCCAGCUCUGACUUGGUCUCCCAGAGUUGGGCAUGGGUCCAGGUACCCGCAAUGGCCUAGGAGUUCCCUUAAGGCGGUAACGACAACUUUUAAUCCUUACAGAAACUAUGAAGCAAGCAGCAUCUCCAUCUUAGAGCUGAAGCAACAGCCUCCAGGUUAAGCAUAGCUGGCACUCAAGCAGUAGAAAAUGGGAGAGACAGAACCAGACCCUGUCUGCCUCCGAAGGCGAGCCUCGCUGCCCCACACCUCCCGCUCUCCCCAUCCCUCCAAGAUAGUACCCUGUGCCAGGCACUCCCUGCACCAUAGACUUUUUACAACCCUAUUUAAUCCUCACCACUAAACCUACCAGGAAAGUACAAAUGGCCGCAGAUUAGGAUACGGAAGCUCAGGAACUUUGAAUACAUUUCCUAAGGUCACAGAGCACACAAGUGCCUGGAUCAGAAUUCAACCCAACUCUUCCAAUGCCAAACGAAAGGUAGUUUUCCUGGUCCUCUGGGUCUAGCCAAAGACAGGCUGAGGGGUGCCAGAAUGCAGAUUCUCCAGGCCAGCAAGAAAGCUUUGAUACUGACCCGCCAGCACCUCUGAUAAAGGAAGAUGCCUUCCAGGAGCCUGCAGAGGCUGCCCUGCUGACUGCAGACACUCAGGAAUUCCGGGCCAACUGAGCACUGGCUGGCUCGGGGGCUGACCUCCCGGCUCCGGCCUUGGCACUCACCCUGUGAGCUGACACACCCUCGGGUCUUUCACUUCUGCAAAUUCCGACCACCGCCUCCAAAGUAAUCUGCGAGUUGCGAUAAAAUGAAAUGAAAUGAAAAUUAAUUUUCAUUUUGAGAAUUGAUUAAACAAUUCUUAGAACAAUGUGGAGUAGCAGGAAAACAACUUUGGGAAUCAAAUCACCCCGGUUCUAGUCUCAACUCAGUCUCUCAAUUGCCGUGCGACACUGGACAAGUCACUUCCCCUCUGAGCUACAGUGGUCUCAUCUGUCUAAUAAAGGAGCAGAACCAUUUAUUUACAAAAUUCCUUGAAAUUAUGGUUUAUUAUUAAUUACCGUUAAAUCCAUUUGGUAUUUAGAACUUUGAAAAGUGAUGGAAACGUAGUGGAGAAAGCAGUAAACUUGAAAUCAUACUUGAUUUGGGCUCUCAGCUUUUACCCCCUCAUAUACAAAAUAAACUAUGUGAUGAUAAUGUUUGUAAGAGAUUCUCUUUGCCCCCUGUGAAGUUCCUCUAUAGGAUUCCUACUGUGAUGGGAAAAAAUUGCGAACUCCUCCCCAAGGAUUCACCUUCCUCCUGUCUUCCGUCUCCUUCCGCUCAGCUACAGGGCCCCUGUGAUGACACACACCCUCAGCUGUACUCUGGGGUCCCCCUUAGCUCCCUCCCACUGCAGUAACAGCGGUGAACAUAACAGCAUUGAAAGGGAACAAAAGGAUAGACUGAAGGAAGGACUGGAUAAUCCAAGGUGUAGUAGGAGUAGAAAUGAGUGACUAGGGAAGGAAGGAUGCUCCUUUGAAAAAGGAGCUGUGCUGAUCUCUUCUCACUCAGCCCUAGAUCAGAUCAGGCCCGCCCAGGAGCCAAGAAAGAGCCGAGAACGGGAGGGGCAGGCCUCAAUGGGGCAAGCACAGAACAAGGCCAGGACACGAGGAGAGGAAGGCCAGGAUAGGAGGAGAUAACCUCUGGGGGAGGAGGUGCUGAGCAGGUUUCUGCCAAGGGUGUUCUCAGACGGCCUGCAAUUCCUGGAAAAGACUGAGUAAGGCAGGGUCUUGACCCGAGGAAUGCAGCUGGGGGUGUAUUUGCACAACUGACCACCUCACAGAGAAGGAGCCUAUCUGGGCCAUAAACCUUAUCUCCCGCCUCGGGAGAGCUAGGAUAGCUAUUUCUGCAUUCCCAGGCACUCAGGCUGAGUCAUAGCUGGGGGUUGGGGGCAUGGUGGGCCUGGGCAGCAAACCUGAGUCACUCCAGGGUGUGUGGUCCAUCGAAAAUGAGAUGGGAACAAAGGGGAAGAAGAGAUGAUCAGGACGACUGGCCCCAACAAGGGCUAAGGGUCUCACAUUCCUACCAGCCAGCCAGCCCCAGGCCAGCAAGUUCCCUCCAGGAAAGUUAGGUCCCGGGCUGCACAACACUGUCAUCCUAGUUAGCCAUGUGGUACUGUGCUCUAGGGUUCACGCACAGGUCUUUCUGGGGCCUAAUGGCUUCUUGCUCUUUCUGCCACAAUUAACUGCUUGUCUAGAUUUGAAAACCACAGUUAGCUCACCCUCUCUCUUAGAGGCCAGGAGCAGGACCCAGAAAGCCCAGGAACCUGGGUCACAGUUCCAGUCCUGUCUUCCUCCCCUCUCCCACCUUAUUACCCUGAGCUGGGCCCCGGUUCUUGUGGAGCGAGGAGGAGAAAGGAGGCAGUGUUCCCCUGUCUUCGGUGUCCCUGAGAAGUUCUCCACUUCCCUGUGCCGUUCCCUCCUCCUCCUUGCAGGCGGGUGAGACUGGCCUGACGACUGACGACAACGCGCUGGUGUGGACAGCCCCUCGGCAGAGUGGAGGGGAGGUGACAUCACCAUCGCUCGCCCUGAAGCUCUGGACACGCACACACUCUCCCUCUGCCCCUCUGUCCCUGUCUCCCGCCACCUCCCCCACUCGCUUUGCUCCAG